RNAcentral lists this transfer RNA (66 nucleotides) under Sphedanolestes impressicollis. RNAcentral describes it as "tRNA-Tyr". It matches the Rfam family "tRNA". From Rfam's summary of the family: Transfer RNA (tRNA) molecules are approximately 80 nucleotides in length. Their secondary structure includes four short double-helical elements and three loops (D, anti-codon, and T loops). The record is from RNAcentral. Lineage: Eukaryota; Metazoa; Arthropoda; Insecta; Hemiptera; Reduviidae.
GGUGAGAUGGCUGAAUUAUAGGCGAUAGAUUGUAAAUCUAUUUAUGGUUUUAUAAACCUCUUACCA